AAAUAACCCGAGACGAUUUGCUAGCAAACCAUUUGUGCUGUACGGUUGAGUUCUGGACUCAGCGUGGAAUUGUUACACUGAAGAAAUGGCUGUUGCCGAUACGGAUCUGAGCACCAUUUAUUCUCUCUGGACAACAAUCUCCACAAUUAGUGAUGCUAACACUGGUUACCUCGUAGACUUCCAAUAAGUCAACUCUCCACCAGGGGUCCCUGUCCCAAGUAGUAUGACUGCAUGAACUACCACUGUAAAUUGAAUUCCUGUUGCCAUCGACAGCAUUUUGAGCAGCUGUUAAUCCAUCGUAUGUGGAAGACUGGACAGCUGUGGCUCCAAGAGCAAGAUUCCCUGUUUCUUCGUAAAUAAAUCACAAGCUUUAAAUUACCAUG
Long non-coding RNA from Ctenopharyngodon idella (grass carp), 383 nucleotides. RefSeq lists it as uncharacterized. The transcript is spliced from 2 exons. Lineage: Eukaryota; Metazoa; Chordata; Actinopteri; Cypriniformes; Xenocyprididae. The record is from RefSeq and is a predicted model, not a curated record.